GCGGCUGUGGUCUAGCGGUCAUGACCGGAGCUUCCCAAGCUCUGAACCCGAGUUCGAAUCCCGGCAGCCGCA
RNAcentral lists this transfer RNA (72 nucleotides) under Methanolobus vulcani. RNAcentral describes it as "tRNA-Gly". It matches the Rfam family "tRNA". From Rfam's summary of the family: Transfer RNA (tRNA) molecules are approximately 80 nucleotides in length. Their secondary structure includes four short double-helical elements and three loops (D, anti-codon, and T loops). Further hydrogen bonds mediate the characteristic L-shaped molecular structure. tRNAs have two regions of fundamental functional importance: the anti-codon, which is responsible for specific mRNA codon recognition, and the 3' end, to which the tRNAs corresponding amino acid is attached (by aminoacyl-tRNA synthetases). tRNAs cope with the degeneracy of the genetic code in two manners: having more than one tRNA (with a specific anti-codon) for a particular amino acid; and 'wobble' base-pairing, i.e. permitting non-standard base-pairing at the 3rd anti-codon position. The record is from RNAcentral. Lineage: Archaea; Methanobacteriati; Methanobacteriota; Methanomicrobia; Methanosarcinales; Methanosarcinaceae.